GAAGCAUGAGACCCUCCUUUCGGAACCCACCGGAGCCGUAGCGAAAGCGAGUCUUAAUAGGGCGAUUGUCACUUCUUAUGGACUCAAACCUGGGUGAUCUAUCCAUGACCAGGAUGAAGCUUGGAUGAAACUAAGCAGAGGUCCGAACCGACUGAUGUUGAAGAAUCAGCGGAUGAGUUGUGGUUAGGGGUGAAAUGCCACUCGAACCCAGAACUAGCUGGUUCUCCCCGAAAUGCGUUGAGGCGCAGCAGUUGACUGGACAUACUAAAAAGUGCCGGAAGGAGAAAGU
This 289-nucleotide non-coding RNA is filed under the name Triticum aestivum (bread wheat). Its description in RNAcentral is "Bacterial large subunit ribosomal RNA". It matches the Rfam family "Bacterial large subunit ribosomal RNA", at positions 647 to 924 of the family's 2925-position model. The record is from Rfam by way of RNAcentral. Lineage: Eukaryota; Viridiplantae; Streptophyta; Magnoliopsida; Poales; Poaceae.